Molecule: ribosomal RNA, 243 nt
Filed under: uncultured bacterium
Lineage: Bacteria
Description: partial 16S ribosomal RNA
Rfam family: Bacterial small subunit ribosomal RNA
Source: RNAcentral
GUCCACGCCGUAAACGAUGUCUACUAGCCGUUGGGACUCUUGAAGUCUUAGUGGCGCAGCUAACGCACUAAGUAGACCGCCUGGGGAGUACGGCCGCAAGGUUAAAACUCAAAUGAAUUGACGGGGGCCCGCACAAGCGGUGGAGCAUGUGGUUUAAUUCGACGCAACGCGAAGAACCUUACCUGGCCUUGACAUGCAGAGAACUUUCCAGAGAUGGAUUGGUGCCUUCGGGAACUCUGACAC